Molecule: long non-coding RNA, 157 nt
Organism: Sebastes umbrosus (honeycomb rockfish)
Lineage: Eukaryota; Metazoa; Chordata; Actinopteri; Perciformes; Sebastidae
Exons: 4
Source: RefSeq, a predicted model, not a curated record
GCUCGCAGUCGUAUGCCUCCGCCAACCACUCAGGUUGCAGUUCACAUCCAUUUCUGUCCAAAAAUGUCAUCACUUCAUCAUUUUAUCCUAUCAGACAUUUGUGUGAAAUUGUCAUAAUUAGCAUAUGAAUUCUUGAGUUACAGCCAAAGAUGAGUUU